AUGGCCUCCGACCGCCUCAGCGCGCUCCGGGCCUUCGACGACACCAAGGCCGGCGUCAAGGGCCUCGUCGACGCCGGCGCCACCGCCAUCCCGGCCAUCUUCCACCACCCACCCGACGCCUUCGCCCCGUCCACUCUCGCCACCGACGUCGCCGUCCCGGUCGUCGACCUCUCCUGCCAGCGCUCGGACGUGGUCGGCGCGGUGAGGGCCGCGGCGGAGACGGUGGGCUUCUUCCUGCUGACGAACCACGGCGUGCCGGAGGCGGCCAUGUUGGGGAUGCUGGCGGCGGUGCGGCGCUUCAACGAGGAGCCGGCGGAGGCCAAGGCGCCGUACUACACGCGGGAGGCGGCGAGGCGCGUGCGCUACAGCUGCAACGCGGACCUGUUCCAGACGCUGGUGGGCAAGUGGCGCGACACCGUGUACAUGGACGACGCGGACCGGCCGGCGGCGGGCGAGGAGACGGAGGAGGAGCUCCUCCUCCCGCCGGCGCUGAGGGGCGUCGCGCCGGAGUACACGGGGCAGAUGCGGCGGCUGGGGCGCGGCCUCUUCGAGCUGCUGUCGGAGGCCCUGGGGCUGCCUCGCCGUGCCUACCUGGAGGAGGAGGCCGGCUGCAUGGCGGCGCUGAGCGUGGCGGGCCACUACUACCCGGCGUGCCCGGAGCCGCACCUCACGAUGGGCACCGUCCCGCACUCGGACCCCAGCUUCCUCACCGUGCUGCUCCAGGACGGCGUGGGCGGCCUCCAGGUGCUCGUGGACGACCCCCUCGAGGACGGCGGCGGCGAGCGUUCGGCGUGGGUGGACGUGCCGGCGACGGGGGAGGCGUCGCUGGUGGUGAACGUGGGCGACUUCCUGCAGCUGGUGUCCAACGACAGGUUCAAGAGCCCGGUGCACCGCGUGGUGUCCAGGAGCGUGGGGCCGCGGGUGUCGGUGGCGUGCUUCUUCAGGGCGGACGGCGCGACGGUGUGCGCCCCGGUGGUCGUCGACGGGAGCGGCCCGCCGCGGUACAAGAGCGUCAAGGCGGAGGAGAUGCUCUGCGUGUCCAACACACAGACCCGGCUCAACAACUUGAGGCUCUAG
RNAcentral lists this ribosomal RNA (1077 nucleotides) under Triticum aestivum (bread wheat). RNAcentral describes it as "partial small subunit ribosomal RNA". Lineage: Eukaryota; Viridiplantae; Streptophyta; Magnoliopsida; Poales; Poaceae. The record is from RNAcentral.